Molecule: ribosomal RNA, 432 nt
Filed under: uncultured bacterium
Lineage: Bacteria
Description: partial 16S ribosomal RNA
Rfam family: Bacterial small subunit ribosomal RNA
Source: RNAcentral
AACGAACGCUGGCGGCAUGCCUAACACAUGCAAGUCGAACGAGACCUUCGGGUCUAGUGGCGCACGGGUGCGUAACGCGUGGGAACCUGCCCUUAGGUUCGGAAUAACUCCCCGAAAGGGGUGCUAAUACCGGAUAAUGUCUUCGGACCAAAGAUUUAUCGCCUUUGGAUGGGCCCGCGUUGGAUAGCUCGUUGGUAGGGUAAAAGCCUACCAAGGCGACGAUCCAUAGCUGGUCUGAGAGGAUGAUCAGCCACACUGGGACUGAGACACGGCCCAGACUCCUACGGGAGGCAGCAGUGGGGAAUAUUGGACAAUGGGCGAAAGCCUGAUCCAGCAAUGCCGCGUGAGUGAUGAAGGCCUUAGGGUUGUAAAGCUCUUUUACCCGGGAUGAUAAUGACAGUACCGGGAGAAUAAGCUCCGGCUAACUCCGUG